CGGCGCUGUGAGUGUGGUGGUUCCGCAGGUUGCAGUCAGGCUUCGUACGCUAUUGUCCUUCCCGUUAGAGCAGCCAGCGGGUACAGAAUGGAUUUUGGAGGAGGGAGUCACCACUGGACCUCCAAGGAAGCCACGUGCAGACAUCUACAACCUUCGAUCUCUUGACGAGUUUAUUGUUGGCUAAAACCAACCAGGAUGAAUGCGGGCGUUGGAAGUAGAAUAUAUACAUAUACAUAUAAAAUUGGUUGGGAGCCACGUGUACCAGUGUGUUGAUCUUGGCUUGAUUCAGUCUGCCUAGUAACAGAUUUUGCCUUCCUGAGUUCCUCUAGUAGUGGCCACAAUUGCCAGAGAAGAUAGAGCAGGUCUCUCCCAGGACUUGCAACUCCAGCCUGUGUCUGCAGGGGGUGCUGUAGGGGCUGAUUUCUCCAGCCCAUGGCAAGAGGCCUUCAUCUUGUGCCUGGAAAGAGGGAAGUACAAGUUCGUCUGGCAGAGAUGG
Molecule: antisense RNA, 496 nt
Filed under: Pongo abelii (Sumatran orangutan)
Lineage: Eukaryota; Metazoa; Chordata; Mammalia; Primates; Hominidae
Rfam family: ZNFX1 antisense RNA 1 conserved region 2 (bases 76-168)
Source: RNAcentral